GAUGAACGCUGGCGGCGUGCCUAAUACAUGCAAGUCGAGCGAACAGACGAGGAGCUUGCUCCUCUGACGUUAGCGGCGGACGGGUGAGUAACACGUGGAUAACCUACCUAUAAUACUGGGAUAACUUCGGGAAACCGGAGCUAAUACCGGAUAAUAUAUUGAACCGCAUGGUUCAAUAGUGAAAGACGGUUUUGCUGUCACUUAUAGAUGGAUCCGCGCCGCAUUAGCUAGUUGGUAAGGUAACGGCUUACCAAGGCAACGAUGCGUAGCCGACCUGAGAGGGUGAUCAGCCACACUGGAACUGAGACACGGUCCAGACUCCUACGGGAGGCAGCAGUAGGGAAUCUUCCGCAAUGGGCGAAAGCCUGACGGAGCAACGCCGCGUGAGUGAUGAAGGUCUUCGGAUCGUAAAACUCUGUUAUUAGGGAAGAACAAAUGUGUAAGUAACUAUGCACGUCUUGACGGUACCUAAUCAGAAAGCCACGGCUAACUACGUG
This 497-nucleotide ribosomal RNA is filed under the name uncultured bacterium. RNAcentral describes it as "partial 16S ribosomal RNA". It matches the Rfam family "Bacterial small subunit ribosomal RNA", at positions 28 to 507 of the family's 1533-position model. The record is from RNAcentral.